Molecule: unclassified non-coding RNA, 346 nt
Filed under: Linnemannia gamsii
Lineage: Eukaryota; Fungi; Mortierellomycota; Mortierellomycetes; Mortierellales; Mortierellaceae
Description: sequence contains 5.8S rRNA gene
Rfam family: 5.8S ribosomal RNA (bases 1-53)
Source: RNAcentral
GAACGCAUAUUGCGCUCUUUGGUAUUCCGAAGAGCAUGCUUGUUUGAGUAUCAGUAAACACCUCAAAACUUUUUUUUAUUUUUGAAAAACAGUUUUGGACUUGAGCAAUCCCAACACCAAUCUUUUUUAGAUCGGUGGCGGGUUGCUUGAAAUGCAGGUGCAGCUGGACAUUCUCCUGAGCUAUAAGCAUAUCUAUUUAGUCCCGUCAAACGGAUUAUUACUUUUGCUGCAGCUAACAUAAAGGGAGUCUGACCGUAUUGGCUGACUGAUGCAGGAUUUCACAAGGGUUGGAAACGACUCUUGUAAAACUCGAUCUCAAAUCAAGUAAGACUACCCGCUGACCUUA